Xenopus tropicalis (tropical clawed frog) is the source of this 2768-nucleotide long non-coding RNA. RefSeq lists it as uncharacterized. The transcript is spliced from 3 exons. The record is from RefSeq and is a predicted model, not a curated record. Lineage: Eukaryota; Metazoa; Chordata; Amphibia; Anura; Pipidae.
AAAUAAAUCCCCCCCAAAAAAACCAAAACUAAUAAGUUAGUUAAUAAAUAAUGAGGCAGCGCUAAAAUCUAUUGAAUCAAGUAUAAAGGUUAGUCGUACCCAAAUGAUCAAAUGGCCCGGGUGUACAAACCCCACAAGCCCUUCUCAACCAAAUCCUGAAAGACAUCGAUUGAACUACCUCUCGAUUGAACGGGAUAAAAAUUGGAAGUAAACUGUAACUUGUUUGCAAUUUCAGUGGUCCCAACCCCUACUCUAUCAUAGAAAUAUCCAGAAUCCACUUGUAAAGACUGUAAUGCAUGCACACACUGCUCUUCUUGAAAGUUAAGGGGAUUACCGUUCCUAAAGUCCCCAGCUGAUUUAACAACUUGUUCCCCACCAACAACCGAACUAGUAACCUGCCCGCUAUUACUACUAUCAACUUCACAGGGAUCCUGCUCCACCAAAUCAUUAGCCCCAUCUAUAACCCCUUCAAGGAAAUGCUUCUUCAAAGUAAGUUUGCGUACAAAGCAAUUUAAAUCAAUUAAAGGGAUACUGACAGUAAAAUAAAACAUUUGAUUAUAUGAUUCUACCUCCAAAAUGACCUAUUACACAUGUUGACCAUUUUCUAUGGGAAGCGCUUGUUUUCUUAAUAAACGCUUCUUAAGAUCCAGGACCCGACUGUCAGCCAAGCACGACUGUCUCUGUUAAGCCUGUCAGUCAAAGCAGGAGCAAGGCUGACGUCAGUCUCACAAAGAUCCUCCUCCUUUCCUUUCCCCUUACUUUGAGAAGCGUCAUCAAUCAUGUGACCCUUCCGUGAUCUUGGUGUCUUCUCUCGAGACUGGAGACUGCCGAGUGCUGACUGCCUGGGCGGCGUUCCAGCAAGCAGGAAGGGAAGAAAGAAGAUGGCGGCGUCGUGGGACUCACAUUCAGAAGGUGCCGACGGAGGAGCAGCUGGACCGUGGGAAUUUUUUUUACAGCGUUUCAGAAGCUAUCAUUCGAUAUCCUGACCGAUCGUCGUGGGAGACCUCCUCGAUAUCUGACCGAUCGUCGAGGAUUCUGUUCCCAUUCGAGUGGCGACCUCUCCACUUCCGAUGUUCCCAAGUUCUCCCAUUUUUUGCCGAUCUAUAAACCUCAAAUUCUCUAUUCGAGACCGGUGAGAUUUCCUUGGUAGAUCUUCGUGUUCUGAGUGCAUAAUUGGACCGCGACCCCGUAUCCUUAAACAAUUGCAGGGCUCUUGACUCGCGAUCACACUGUGAAGAGAUAGAGGAAAGGGAGGAGCAGGCAGGAGUACUGGUAUCCACAUUGUGAGAGUCCUCCUCACUGGAGAAUCUCACCCGUUUUGGAAAACGCGAUCUUUUCAAAAUGGAUAGUAGUAAUAGCGGGCAGGUUACUAGUUCGGUUGUUGGUGGGGAACAAGUUGUUAAAUCAGCUGGGGACUUUAGGAACGGUAAUCCCCUUAACUUUCAAGAAGAGCAGUGUGUGCAUGCAUUACAGUCUUUACAAGUGGAUUCUGGAUAUUUCUAUGAUAGAGUAGGGGUUGGGACCACUGAAAUUGCAAACAAGUUACAGUUUACUUCCAAUUUUUAUCCCGUUCAAUCGAGAGGUAGUUCAAUCGAUGUCUUUCAGGAUUUGAUUGAGAAGGGCUUGUUGGCCUUGAAGGCCAAAACCGAUGAUUUACCAAUACACUCUAACCUUAAUAAGGCUGAGAGACAAGCUUUGAAGCAGCUAAAGGAGGACAAAUCGUUGGUAAUCAAAAAUGCUGAUAAGGGAGGAAUGGUAGUUGUUAUGGAUACUGAGACUUAUAAGGUUGAAGCCAUGCGACAACUGAAUGAUGUAUCUACCUAUCAGAAAUUACGAUCUAAUCCAUCUGAGGAGUUUAUGAAAGCCCUUAAGGAGUUGGUUUUUAAUGCACAGAUUAAUGGUGUCAUUAGUUUGAAAAUCAGAGAUUAUUUGAUUAUUUGUUUUCUAUCAUUUACCUAAGGUACACAAAGCAGAGCGUCCACCUGUAGGUAGGCCUAUUGUAUCGGGGGUACAGUCUCUCAAUGAGAGAUUAUCUGAGUUUAUCGAUAUCUUAUUACAGCCCUUGGUUUUACAUUUGGCCUCAUAUAUACGGGACACGAAACACGUUUUACAGAUUUUGGGUGAUUGUAGGUGGCACGAUUCUUUUUCUUGGGGCACGGUGGACAUGGUUUCUCUUUACUCUUGCAUUCCACAUGACAAGGGGUUAUUGGCCAUUUCUUAUCACCUGGAUAGGUAUAGCACUUAUGAUAGUCUUUUGAAAGAUUUUAUUUUGGACGCUAUUGCUUAUUUAUUAACACAUAAUUUUUUUAAGUUUGACGGCAAUUUUUACCUCCAAAGAUGUGGGACGUCUAUGGGUGCGAAAUUUGUGCCCACUUAUGCCAACCUUUACAUGGGCUGGUGGGAAGAGUCCCACAUCUUUGGGGGUGAAUUGCCGCUGUUGGCACAUAUAGUACUAUAUAGAAGGUAUGUGGAUGAUCUUAUUUUUAUUUGGAAGGGCACUGAAGGCACUUUUUCACACUUUGUGGGGAGUUUAAAUCAUAAUGAUUUAAAUUUGAGGUUUGUAAGCGAAUACGAUUCGACAUGUAUCACUUUUUUGGAUCUCCAGUUGAGGGGCAUUGGAACCCUAAUUGAGACUGACACCUUUAGGAAGCCCUGUUCUGGGAAUUCCCUUUUGAGGGCUGACUCGUGCCAUCCUAGUCACCUUUUCAAAGGGAUUCCCUUGGGUCAGUUUUAUAGACUUAAAGGAACAGUAACACCAAAAAAUUAAA